RNAcentral lists this ribosomal RNA (479 nucleotides) under uncultured anaerobic ammonium-oxidizing bacterium. Its description in RNAcentral is "bacterial SSU rRNA". It matches the Rfam family "Bacterial small subunit ribosomal RNA", at positions 364 to 833 of the family's 1533-position model. The record is from RNAcentral.
UUUCGCAAUGCCCGAAAGGGUGACGAAGCGACGCCGCGUGGGUGAGGAAGGCCUUCGGGUUGUAAAGCCCUGUCAGGAGUUAUGAAAUGUAAGUGCGCUAAUAUCGUGCUUAUUUGACAAAGGCUCCAAAGGAAGCCACGGCUAACUCUGUGCCAGCAGCCGCGGUAAUACAGAGGUGGCGAGCGUUGUUCGGAAUUAUUGGGCGUAAAGAGCACGUAGGUGGGUUUGCAAGUCAGAUGUGAAAGCCUUCUGUUCAACGGAAGAAUUGCAUCUGAAACUGCUAAUCUUGAGUAUAGGAGGGGAGAAUGGAACUUCUGGUGGAGCGGUGAAAUGCGUAGAUAUCAGAAGGAACGCCGGCGGCGAAAGCGAUUCUCUGGCCUAUUACUGACACUCAGUGUGCGAAAGCUAGGGGAGCAAACGGGAUUAGAUACCCCGAUAGUCCUAGCCGUAAACGAUGGGCACUAAGUAGAGGGGUUUUA